GGGGGACGCAGUAGGAUAGGCGAAGCGUGCGAUUGGAUUGCACGUCUAAGCAGUAAGGCUGAGUAUUAGGCAAAUCCGGUACUCGUUAAGGCUGAGCUGUGAUGGGGAGAAGACAUUGUGUCUUCGAGUCGUUGAUUUCACACUGCCGAGAAAAGCCUCUAGAUAGAAAAUAGGUGCCCGUACCGCAAACCGACACAGGUAGUCAAGAUGAGAAUUCUAAGGUGAGCGAGCGAACUCUCGUUAAGGAACUCGGCAAAAUGACCCCGUAACUUCGGGAGAAGGGGUGCUCUUUAGGGUUAACGCCCAGAAGAGCCGCAGUGAAUAGGCCCAAGCGACUGUUUAUCAAAAACACAGGUCUCUGCUAAACCGUAAGGUGAUGUAUAGGGGCUGACGCCUGCCCGGUGCUGGAAGGUUAAGAGGAGUGGUUAGCUUCUGCGAAGCUACGAAUCGAAGCCCCAGUAAACGGCGGCCGUAACUAUAACGGUCCUAAGGUAGCGAAAUUCCUUGUCGGGUAAGUUCCGACCCGCACGAAAGGCGUAACGAUUUGGGCACUGUCUCAACGAGAGACUCGGUGAAAUCAUAGUACCUGUGAAGAUGCAGGUUACCCGCGACAGGACGGAAAGACCCCGUGGAGCUUUACUGUAGCCUGAUAUUGAAAUUCGGCACAGCUUGUACAGGAUAGGUAGGAGCCUUUGAAACGUGAGCGCUAGCUUACGUGGAGGCGCUGGUGGGAUACUACCCUAGCUGUGUUGGCUUUCUAACCCGCACCACUUAUCGUGGUGGGAGACAGUGUCAGGCGGGCAGUUUGACUGGGGCGGUCGCCUCCUAAAAGGUAACGGAGGCGCUCAAAGGUUCCCUCAGAAUGGUUGGAAAUCAUUCAUAGAGUGUAAAGGCAUAAGGGAGCUUGACUGCGAGACCUACAAGUCGAGCAGGGUCGAAAGACGGACUUAGUGAUCCGGUGGUUCCGCAUGGAAGGGCCAUCGCUCAACGGAUAAAAGCUACCCCGGGGAUAACAGGCUUAUCUCCCCCAAGAGUUCACAUCGACGGGGAGGUUUGGCACCUCGAUGUCGGCUCAUCGCAUCCUGGGGCUGUAGUCGGUCCCAAGGGUUGGGCUGUUCGCCCAUUAAAGCGGUACGCGAGCUGGGUUCAGAACGUCGUGAGACAGUUCGGUCCCUAUCCGUCGUGGGCGUAGGAAAUUUGAGAGGAGCUGUCCUUAGUACGAGAGGACCGGGAUGGACAUACCUCUGGUGUACCAGUUGUCGUGCCAACGGCAUAGCUGGGUAGCUAUGUGUGGACGGGAUAAGUGCUGAAAGCAUCUAAGCAUGAAGCCCCCC
RNAcentral lists this ribosomal RNA (1334 nucleotides) under Staphylococcus aureus. RNAcentral describes it as "bacterial LSU rRNA". It matches the Rfam family "Bacterial large subunit ribosomal RNA", at positions 1467 to 2798 of the family's 2925-position model. Lineage: Bacteria; Bacillati; Bacillota; Bacilli; Caryophanales; Staphylococcaceae. The record is from RNAcentral.